This 505-nucleotide ribosomal RNA is filed under the name uncultured bacterium. Its description in RNAcentral is "partial 16S ribosomal RNA". It matches the Rfam family "Bacterial small subunit ribosomal RNA", at positions 28 to 507 of the family's 1533-position model. The record is from RNAcentral.
GACGAACGCUGGCGGCGUGCCUAAUACAUGCAAGUAGAACGCACAGUUUAUACCUUAGCUUGCUACACCAUAGACUGUGAGUUGCGAACGGGUGAGUAACGCGUAGGUAACCUGCCAGGUAGCGGGGGAUCACCAUUGGAAACGAUAGCUAAUACCGCAUAAUAUUGAUUAUUGCAUGAUAAUUAAUUGAAAGGUGCAAUUGCACCACUACCAGAUGGACCUGCGUUGUAUUAGCUAGUAGGUGAGGUAACGGCUCACCUAGGCGACGAUACAUAGCCGACCUGAGAGGGAGAUCGGCCACACUGGGACUGAGACACGGCCCAGACUCCUACGGGAGGCAGCAGUAGGGAAUCUUAGGCAAUGGACGAGAGUCUGACCGAGCAACGCCGCGUGAGUGAAGAAGGUUUUCGGAUCGUAGAGCUCUGUUGUAAGAGAAGAACGGGUGUGAGAGUGGAAAGGUCACACUGUGCCGGUAUCUUACCAGAAAGGGACGGCUAACUACGUG